GCCUCUAUAGCUCAGUUGGUUAGAGCAACCGCCUCUUAAGCGGUGGGUCCUCGGUUCAAGUCCGAGUGGGGGUAC
Molecule: transfer RNA, 75 nt
Filed under: Microbacterium phage Pumpernickel
Lineage: Duplodnaviria; Heunggongvirae; Uroviricota; Caudoviricetes
Description: tRNA-Lys
Rfam family: tRNA
About the family: Transfer RNA (tRNA) molecules are approximately 80 nucleotides in length. Their secondary structure includes four short double-helical elements and three loops (D, anti-codon, and T loops).
Source: RNAcentral